CGCUGGCGGCGUGCUUAACACAUGCAAGUCGAACGAUGAAGCCCAGCUUGCUGGGUGGAUUAGUGGCGAACGGGUGAGUAACACGUGAGUAACCUGCCCUUGACUCUGGGAUAAGCGCUGGAAACGGCGUCUAAUACCGGGAUACGACCUGCCCCGGCAUCGGGUGCGGGUGGAAAGUUUUUCGGUCAAGGAUGGACUCGCGGCCUAUCAGCUAGUUGGUGAGGUAAUGGCUCACCAAGGCGACGACGGGUAGCCGGCCUGAGAGGGUGACCGGCCACACUGGGACUGAGACACGGCCCAGACUCCUACGGGAGGCAGCAUUGGGGAAUAUUGCACAAUGGGCGAAAGCCUGAUGCAGCAACGCCGCGUGGGGGAUGACGGCCUUCGGGUUGUAAACCUCUUUUAGUAGGGAAGAAGGGCUUCGGCUUGACGGUACCUGCAGAAAAAGCACCGGCUAACUACGUGCCAGCAGCCGCGGUAAUACGUAGGGUGCAAGCGUUGUCCGGAAUUAUUGGGCGUAAAGAGCUCGUAGGCGGUUUGUCGCGUCUGCUGUGAAAACCCGAGGCUCAACCUCGGGCCUGCAGUGGGUACGGGCAGACUAGAGUGCGGUAGGGGAGAAUGGAAUUCCUGGUGUAGCGGUGGAAUGCGCAGAUAUCAGGAGGAACACCGAUGGCGAAGGCAGUUCUCUGGGCCGUUACUGACGCUGAGGAGCGAAAGCGUGGGGAGCGAACAGGAUUAGAUACCCUGGUAGUCCACGCCGUAAACGUUGGGAACUAGAUGUGGGGACCUUUCCACGGUCUCCGUGUCGCAGCUAACGCAUUAAGUUCCCCGCCUGGGGAGUACGGCCGCAAGGCUAAAACUCAAAUGAAUUGACGG
RNAcentral lists this ribosomal RNA (876 nucleotides) under uncultured bacterium. Its description in RNAcentral is "bacterial SSU rRNA". It matches the Rfam family "Bacterial small subunit ribosomal RNA", at positions 34 to 916 of the family's 1533-position model. The record is from RNAcentral.